AAAAACAUGUCUAUAUGGUUGUUAUAUAAAGUCUAGCCUGCCCACUGAUUUAGUUUAAAGGGCCGCGGUAUAUUGACCGUGCGAAGGUAGCAUAAUCAUUAGUCUUUUAAUUGAAGGCUUGUAUGAAUGGUUGGACAAAAAGUAAGCUGUCUCAAUUAUAAUAAUUGAACUUAACUUUUAAGUGAAAAGGCUUAAAUAAAUUAAGGGGACGAUAAGACCCUAUAAAGCUUGACAAUAAUUUAAUUAUACUAUCAAUUGUUAGUAUAACUUGGUUUUAAUUAAUAUUUGUUGCGUUGGGGCGACGAGAAUAUAAUAGGUAACUGUUCUUAAAUAUUUAAUAACAAAUAUAAUUGGAAAUUAGUAUGAUCCUCUAUUAGCGAUUAAAAGAUUAAGUUACUUUAGGGAUAACAGCGUAAUCUUCUUUGAGAGUCCCUAUCGACAAGAAGGUUUGCGACCUCGAUGUUGAAUUAAGGUAUCCUUAUGAUGCAGCAGUUAUAAAGGAAGGUCUGUUCGACCUUUAAAUCCUUACAUGAUCUGAUCU
RNAcentral lists this ribosomal RNA (541 nucleotides) under Penaeus indicus. RNAcentral's name for it is "partial large subunit ribosomal RNA". It matches the Rfam family "Bacterial large subunit ribosomal RNA", at positions 1809 to 2611 of the family's 2925-position model. The record is from RNAcentral. Lineage: Eukaryota; Metazoa; Arthropoda; Malacostraca; Decapoda; Penaeidae.